GUGCUUGCCUUGGCAGCACAUAUACUAAAAUUGAAACGAUACAGAGAAGAUUAGCAUGGCCCCUGUGCAAGGAUGACAUGCAAAUUCUUGAAGUGUUUCGUAUUAAA
RNAcentral lists this small nuclear RNA (107 nucleotides) under Jaculus jaculus (lesser Egyptian jerboa). Lineage: Eukaryota; Metazoa; Chordata; Mammalia; Rodentia; Dipodidae. The record is from RNAcentral.